Molecule: long non-coding RNA, 478 nt
Filed under: Malus domestica (apple)
Lineage: Eukaryota; Viridiplantae; Streptophyta; Magnoliopsida; Rosales; Rosaceae
Description: long non-coding RNA (MDOM_LNC012134)
Source: RNAcentral
UUCUGGCAUGAAUGGAGUUUGCUGGAUGUGUUUUUGGUUUUUAGAAGGGAGUUAGGAUGGUAGGGUGGUGCGGCAAGGUGUGGGAAAGAGUUAUGGAGGUGUGGAAUGGUGUCUAAAGGUGGAGGAUGGUGGCUGGAAUGAAUCAAAGGCUGCGGCAAGAUGUGGUUUUGGUGAUGGUGGCUGCAGCAAGAUGUGGAAAGGGGGAGAUGAUUUUCUGAUUUUAUGGAGAGGGAAGAAGAUUCUCGGCAAGGUGGUAAAAACACAAAUAUAUAAGCACCUAAAACCCUAAUGAAAUCAGAUUAGACAACAAUGGGCUAGGGUUAGGUGCGGCACUUAAGUGAACAUGGGCUAGGGUUUGUAAAAUAGGCUUCUAGGAUGGAAAGGUGCGGCUUGGGUUUAGGAGAAAUGGACUAGGGUUUAACAUGGCAGAUUUUAGAUGAUUAGGCCCUAGGGUUCGGCAUGGGUUGAAGGUCCACAA